UUACAAUUCAAAAAAUACGCGUGAAAUCAGUAAACACCAACUUCAAGUUAGGACUGUUGGACAGACCAAGCAUUUUAUUAUUAUAUAUAAUAUUUUAUUUUUUGACAAAUAAUUUAAAAAAUCCUUUUUCAUUUUUUAAAUAUAUAUAUGUCUCGAGAAACUCGAUGAGUUGGUUUCUGACUUCAAGUUGAUUAAAACGAUCGCUUUUUUUAUAAUUAUUUUUUCCCCCUUUCGUUUAUUAAAUAUUUAUAAUAUGUCUUGUUGUCGAAGGAACAGUAAUGACAAAAAUCUUGAAAAACACAGUUAUGACGAUCAAAAUGAAAAAAAUAUGGAAAAAAAUGUACAAAAUAACCCUAAUUAUUAUGAUGCAAAAUGUCAAAAUCUAGGAAAACAGGAACUAAAUAAUAAUGGAAUUGAAAAUUCGACACGAUUUUCAAUUAGAGUAAUGGAAGCAAUGCGUUCUCUUCAACGAAAUAAUAACGAUAAAUCCUUGCCCUCAUCAAAUAUCAAGGAUAUAGCGGAAUAUAUAAAAGCAAAUUAUAAUUUUGAUGGAGACCUUGACGCUCAGGUGCAAACGGUCUUGUCACGAAUUUGGCGUCAAGGCGUAGAUUUACAAUGAAAAUCAACAAGAACGAUUACAUUCUGAUGGGUCCAUUUGCUACAUGUCUAAAUAGGGUUCAUAAUUUUUUAACUUCUCAAUCAUCGUGCAAGAGAAAAUAUAAAUCAAGAUCUGAAUCAAGAUGUUCGAAAAAGCGAAAAAAGGAAAAAAAAUCUAAGAAAAAACGAAAAAAUAAAGAAUGUAUAAAAAUAAUUUCAGAUCAUUCUGAACCAAAAGAAGAAAAUUUGACAGAAAAUAAUAUAUCAUCAAAAAGUCAAAAAAAACAUUUUUCUAUAGAUAGAAGUAGAUCUUCCUUAAGAAAAGAGGCUCAAGCAUCCUCAAAAAAUCAAAGUAAACAUCGACUUAAAAAAUUGAAAAGUUCACAAAAAAGGAAUCGUUCAGCAGAAAAAUCAGAAUGUGGAUGUGGACGUACUCAUAACAACAAUGAGAUUGACGAAGAUUUUCAAUCAGCAAAUUCGCCUAACACUUUUGUAACAUGCCAAGAAUUAAAUACAGGACGUUUGAUAGCUCAAAAUAAAAUUUUAAACAGCGUUUCUAAUCUAAACAACAAAUUUUAUAAUUCCUCCCCAGAAAUGGAUGAAAAUUCAACAAAUUCUGAAGAAGAAAAUUCCAGUGACAGUGUUUAUCAAGAAUUGAAAUCGAAAAAAAUUAAACAUCAUAGUUCCAAUAAUAAAGAUUUGAAAAAAUGGAUCAAACAUUGUCGACAGAAAUGUCCUCGUAAUUGAAAAAUAUAAUAAAAUUUCAAUAAUCUACAAAAUAUUCAUUAAAAUUACAAGACAAAAAAAAGGAAGAAAUAAAAAAUUCAUCAAACAUAGAGAAAUAUAUAAAACAUUAUACAAAAAAUGCAAAAAAAGAACAAAAUCGUAAAAUUAUACCCAAAGGAAAAUAUAAAAAGAAAAACGAAUAUAGAAAUUAAAAAGAAAUUAUACAAACGUAAAAAUAAAAAUUAAUUGCCUAAAAAUAUACUCUCAAUAAGUUAAA
Leptopilina boulardi is the source of this 1600-nucleotide RNA transcript. RefSeq lists it as uncharacterized. The record is from RefSeq and is a predicted model, not a curated record. NCBI's taxonomy places the organism in Eukaryota, Metazoa, Arthropoda, Insecta, Hymenoptera, Figitidae. The transcript has 4 exons.